GCUCUGACACUGUGUGAGGCUUUUCCCUCACAGGGACAAAUAGCUGAAGGUAACCAUUUCAAAGAGGAAAGAUUCCGGUUUGCUCAGUGGCAGAGAACUUAGCUCUGUCAUCCUUGACAGCAUUGCUUUAGGGUCUGUGGUGAGUCAAAGUGUCAAGUAUGUGUUUCUCUUCAGAAUACAAGGAGUGUAUGGGAAGUAAACCAAAUACAUUUUGGAGAUAUCAAGUGUCCUGUUGAUACUGAUAAAACAAUACUGGGGAGAGGAUUUUUGACGGAAGAAAAGGAGGAUCUUUGGGGAAUACUAAAAAACACCAGUCAAUCAGACCAACAGUGAGGAGGGACAAAUGACACUUUCCUUCAAUCACACUGAGAAAUCUCUCCUUCAUUUGUAUUUUGAUGCCCGGAAGAAUCAUGGGUGCUUCUCGGAUCUAUUAACUAAUCUCAGAAAGCCAAGGAAAAUGAACUAUAUGAUGGCUGAGGUUGACAAAAGCAACUUUAAGUCACCAAGAGGCAAAAUGCCAAGUGGCACAUGAGGAACAACCAGCUCCUUGCCAGAGGUGGAAACCGUCCAAAGG
RNAcentral lists this long non-coding RNA (574 nucleotides) under Rattus norvegicus (Norway rat). RNAcentral's name for it is "long non-coding RNA NONRATT008784". The record is from RNAcentral. Lineage: Eukaryota; Metazoa; Chordata; Mammalia; Rodentia; Muridae.